UCGUAGUGCAUCCGGGUAGGCAGCAUGCUUAGAUGUAGCUGGGCAGCCGGCCGCGCGUGCAUGCAGCCAUGCAUGCGGCCAGACCAUGCAAAAGGUCCAUGCACUUAGCCAUGCACAUGGUCUGGACAUGCAUGCGCCUAGAAGCCAUGCACGUGGGCACUUUCUCUUCUUCUUGGGUAGGAUGACUGAUCCGUGGGAGUGCUGGAGCACGGAAGGGCAAGCCGUCCACUGUUUCUAUAUAGGGGUAUCCU
RNAcentral lists this long non-coding RNA (251 nucleotides) under Hordeum vulgare. RNAcentral's name for it is "long non-coding RNA (HVUL_LNC002468)". Lineage: Eukaryota; Viridiplantae; Streptophyta; Magnoliopsida; Poales; Poaceae. The record is from RNAcentral.